AGUGUAAAUGCCCUCAACCGCCUGCCCCACCAGGCCUUCAGGAGCGGGUAUCAGGCACACCCAAGAAGUAGCCCAAGACGCCUAGCCAAGCCACACCCCCACGGGUAUUCAGCAGUAGUUAACAUUAAGCAAUGAGUGCAAACUUGACUUAGUUAUAGCAAAUCUACCCCCAAGGGUCGGUAAAUCUUGUGCCAGCCACCGCGGUCACACAAGAGACCCAAAUCAACCGUUCCAACCAACACGGCGUAAAGAGUGGUAAAAUGCCUAUCCUAGCUAACUAAGACCGAAGUGCAUCUGAGUUGUCACAAGCACAAGAUGCACCUAAGCACACCAUUAAGAUGGUCUUAGAAACUAAGGACUGAUUUAACUCCACGAAAGCCAGGGCCCAAACUGGGAUUAGAUACCCCACUAUGCCUGGCCCUAAAUCUCGAUACUUCCUAUACCAAAGUAUCCGCCAGAGAACUACGAGCACAAACGCUUAAAACUCUAAGGACUUGGCGGUGCCCCAAACCCACCUAGAGGAGCCUGUUCUAUAAUCGAUAAUCCACGAUCCACCCAACCACCCCUUGCCAACACAGCCUACAUACCGCCGUCGCCAGCUCACCUCACAUGAGAGCACAACAGUGAGCGCAACAGCACCCCGCUAGUAAGACAGGUCAAGGUAUAGCCUAUGGGGUGGAAGAAAUGGGCUACAUUCCCUAUGCAUAGGGCAACACGGAAAGAAGCAUGAAACUGCUUCUAGAAGGCGGAUUUAGCAGUAAAGCGGGAUAAUAGAGCCUGCUUUAAGACGGCCCUGGGGCACGUACAUACCGCCCGUCACCCUCCUCACAAGCCGCUUCCCACAUAACUAAUACCACUUAUGCGCUAAAGAUGAGGUAAGUCGUAACAAGGUAAGUGUACCGGAAGGUGUACUUAGAA
Molecule: non-coding RNA, 918 nt
Filed under: Malacorhynchus membranaceus (pink-eared duck)
Lineage: Eukaryota; Metazoa; Chordata; Aves; Anseriformes; Anatidae
Description: partial small subunit ribosomal RNA
Rfam family: Bacterial small subunit ribosomal RNA
Source: RNAcentral